Molecule: long non-coding RNA, 4818 nt
Filed under: Olea europaea subsp. europaea
Lineage: Eukaryota; Viridiplantae; Streptophyta; Magnoliopsida; Lamiales; Oleaceae
Source: RNAcentral
CCCCUCUCUUUUCGCUUCUUCCAUGUUGGCUUACCGUAGCAGUCGCUCUAAGCUUUCUCAUCCUACUGAUGGUAUUUUAGGCGAACUCGCUUGCAGCACCCGCUUCUCGGGUCUGGUUCUAGUUCUUCGUUGCUGUGCCAGUGCCACCUAAACAAUGCCAUGGGCCGACCAGUCCGUCACAUCCACUGCUACAACUUCGAGUAAAGCUAAAGAAAACUCAUAGUUACUGUAUGAUUUCGGCCUCCUAGGUAAAUGGGUUUCUUAUUUUACUCUUCUUUUACUUGAACUUGUUCAAUCGUGGUUGUUGGUAUUAAGUGGGUUCCAUGAAUGUGCAGGAUACUAUACGAUUUCGGCCUGUUAUGUAAAUGGAUUUCUUCUUUUACUCUUCUUUUCUUUUAUCGCAUUUUAUGAUUAUUUUUUCUUGGUUUUGAUUUCGUUCAUUUUUGUAGGAGUAUUUUUCUCCUAUGGGCUGGUCACUCAAGAGGGACAUUGUAUGGUGUGUCUAGGGAGGUGGCUGUUGCUUUUGAGGAGGUGAUACGGGUUAGGGUUAUGGUGGAGAGAUAAAUCCUCUUAGUGAGUUAAUCGUUAAUUUUUGAAGCUGAUAUAUGUAGUUGAAAUUUAGCAUCAUUUGUUUAUAAAGUUUAUGUGACAACGGAUAUGCUCUAGCUGGGAACUGUUAUAGGUGAACAUUAAUAAAUGUAGUAUGUUUUCAUAGUUUUAAUUUUUGCCAUGUCUUUUUUAAUGAUGAUUUAGGCUUUCAUGUGGUGAUUUCGACUGAGUUUUUAACUUGUGAGCUUUUCUCUUGUUACUAGAGGUUUUUACCUAUAGGUGUAGGGUUUUUUUUCAUUAAAAAUAGAAUUUGCUAUUCAAUUGAUGUUGAUUUUGCCCUCCUAAUUCUCUCUUUCUCCAAAGUUCUUCUCUUCUACCUAUUUCCUUCUCUUUUAAAUUCUCGUGAUCUCUUAUGCGCCAAAUGCUUCAACUGGAUUCCAUUUUAUUCAGCUUCUCGAUGUUACGUCAAAUUUCAAUUGCUAAAUACGAGCUGUUGCAAGUCUUGAAUUGAAUGAUUGGUGAAUACCAUCAAAUUUCAACUGAUUUGGGUGUCUAAAUGUGAAUAAAUUGCUUUGCUUUGGUUCAGGAUAUUCUGAGAAGUAGAGCAGCUGGUGUGUUCCUUAGUGGUGCUUUAGCGGGACCAUAACCAAAGCCAUUCUCGCUCUUGAGACCAUCAGGUUUUCUAUUUCCCCUUCCCUGAUCCUGGAUUUUUUUUUUUUUUUUUUUAACCUAAUAAAUGAAGCAGAUUGCAUAAUAGUUCAAUUGCGAUACAUUAUUUGAUCAAACUUUAAAAAGAAAAUUCUGGCUUCAUCAAUUCUAGCUUUUCUGUUCCUCUUUGACUCAAUUGUGGUCCUAUUUUAUUUUCUCAAAUUUACAAGAUGGCAUGUCGAAUGAAUAAGUCACUGGAGUCAGUAUUAUAUCAUCAUUCUUCAAGCCUGAAAGAUGAAAGUUGAGUUUUAAUGUAACCCACUUAAACAAGAGUGAGACAACAUCUUUGUUUGAAGAAGAGAGACAAGUCUCUAUUAUAUGUAUAAGGUAACUUCUUUGGUUUGGAGAAAGCUCAUCUUCAUCUUUUAGCUUUGGAUGAUAAUGGGUGAGGAAGUAUGUUUUAUAUAAUUUUUAUUGAAUGUGGGAAUCUCUGUUUGCUAAAAUCCUACACCGCAAGUGCACGGGUUGCGUUCAAGUAAUAAAGUGGACCUUUUAAGUUCAAGUAUCGUCCCACAGAGAUUGUAUUAGUUUAAAUUUAAAUUAUCUUCGCCUUAACCGAAACAAUAGAAAUUCGUGAUUUUUUGCUAACUAUAUUGUGAUUUAAUAACUUACUUAAAGAUAUAAAGUUUAAAUUAACUCAAUUAAAUGCGUAAUUAUAACUAAAUGCAAAUUUUAUAAAAAUAUGAUAACGAAGUGCGUACUAAGAUCCCGAAUCCCCUUAUAUCAACCCUCUUUAAUCCGAAUUUUAUAAAAUUGACAACACGAUUCAAUUAUGAAGAUCAAUAUUCCUAAUUUGUUUAACAAUCUCUUUCGAGUAGAGUUAAUCCUAUUUUUACAUGUGACCCGACUAUAUUUCUGUGACGAAUGCGAACAUAUAAAAAUGCAUUAAAAAUUUAUGAAUACUUAAAGAUCACGUAAAGCAUAGCGGUAUAUUUCUAUCCCCUAUCGGACUUUACGACAAUUAACAUAAUGUCCAACUUAUUUUCCAUCUCUCGAGGGUAAAACAAGUCACAAAUCUCAUACAACUAUUGCGCACAUAAUUGUAGAGAAAAUAAAAUACAUGCAAAUCAUUCAAUAAUUAAAAACAUGUUUUAACGUCAAAUGAAUAAAAUUCAAGAUUAAGGAUUCAUAAUAUAAGGUUCAUCGCAAAAUCCCAGCACGAAGAGAUCUAGCCUAACAUAAUGGCAGAAUUAAAUAAAUAAAAGUGGAACGACAUCACCAAUAAUUGACGAAACAUGAUUAAUCUUUCAAUAUGUAGAUCUGCGGUCUUUUUCCUCUUUUCUGCGUGAUGUCGUCUGCUUCUGUAUGCGUGUUCCUUAAUUCCAACCGUCCAAUGUCUCCCCAAGCAGCCUGCUUCCUGUGGGAAUUAUAUAUGUAUAAAAAUCAGAUUUGAGCCCACCAAUUAAUUCCCCACCUGCUGGCCGACAAUCACAAUCCAACCACGCAAUCUAUCGGCUUUAUGUGGGUGAGUGUAUAUAUAUAAUUUAACUUUUGCAGCCCACUAAUUCACCCCACAAGCUUCUCAAUUGUUUUGGUGGAAGAAUUCCUUUUCUCAAAAUCCCAGCAGCCGGCCAACUUUAUAUAUUCCGCCACUCAAAUUUUCCUACUUCACCAAUUUGCCGUUUUCUAUGUAUGUGUCUAUGAACUUAGCUUUGUCUUCCUCUCAAUUUUGUAGGUUUAUGUUUGUAUAUAUAUAUUACAGUUUUCCCUUGUUCUGUAUACAAUUUAGGAGCCCAAGUCCAAUAAGUUUUGUGUACUCAAUUCUUUCGGGUAAUGCAAGUUAGUCCUUCUCUUCAUUUUCUCCUCAAUUUUGAUCCUCCAUCUUUUAUUCCGCGAGAUUUAGUCCACAAAUUCAAUGUAACAGCCAAUUGAUUAUUUUCUUUUCCAAUUGCUUCAAAACGGGUCCAUAACUAAAAACAAAAGAAAAUUAACACAAGUUGGUAAAAAUUAAUAAUUUGACGACAUAAAAACCUAGUUAUGUAAUCCGAAUAAGUGCAUAAAAUGCACUUAUCAAUCUCUACUAGUUAUUCAGAGAAAAGCAUAUCUUAAGUGGUGUGAGCUUCAAAGUGAAAUUUCUUUGCUUUUGGUUGUUCAAUUCUUUGAAUGUUUCAACCAUGUGUAUUAUGACUUCAAGUUCCAAAAGUUAAUGGUCAUUGUCUAGCUCUUGCAAGUGACAUAGGUACCAAGUUAAUGUUUUGGAUUGCCUGCUUGUAGGAGGAUUAUCUCUAUUGCUAUGUUGUGCAUCACUGUCAUCCACAGAGAGAACUUUCAUCUCAUAUAUAUGUUGCUGUCUAGGAAAUUGAGGGAUGGACUGCAAGGUUGCGUCCCUCUACGCAAGUAAUGUAUAAAAAAUAUUGUACAUUAAUAAUUGGAUGAUGAUCACUCGGUGAAUAUUGGGCUAUCAACCUGGUCAUAUGAUAAUAUAUAUGUUCUGCACGUGUAAAUUUAUUUCAUGGAAUAUUAUUUGGGUAUCUCUUAUUCAAAUUUUUACUAAGAUAUCUUCAAUUGAUAUGUGAAUGGGAUAUCUCCAUUCCCAAAUAGCUUUCACAUCUUUUUAUAAGUAUCUCAUGGUGUCUCUUCAGGUUUUUAUGUUUUUAUCUCAUGCUAUUUCCAGAGAGCCAAGGUCAUUUUUUAACUCCUUAAUUAUAGAUUGCAUCAGCCCAUGUCAUCAGGACAACACUAUAGGCUAACAUAAAAUGCUUGUGAAGCUCAUUUAAAUGCUCAAUUAUCAAGAUUCUGCUUUAUCUUGAAUGUUCCCAGUUAAUUGUGAAUCGUGAAUUAUUCUUCUUUUCACUAUCGUGGCUAUAUAUGCACUAUUGGACAGCUUAAAGCAAAUUGGUGAGUUCCUGUUUGAAAAAUAUGGAGGUUAAGACUUGGAUGUCAUGUAAGUUCAGUACACUUUAUGAAUGAUAAAUCUUAUUGCCAUUUAAUACUUGGAUGUCGUGUAAGUUCAACACACUUAAUGAAUGAUAAGUCUUAUUGCCAUUUAAUAAACAGAAUUUGUGAAUACUGAAUUGAUUGUCUGAAGUUGUAAUCUUAUUUUUUUCCUCUUUCCCGAGUUUAAGCAAUCAUGGAGAAAAAAAGGAGAGAGUAAACUAUGAUAUUGGUUGUUCUUAGAGUAAACUAUUAUAUUGGUUGUUCUUAUUUACUUUUAUCCAAAAUCAAAAACUUUUUGCUUAUAAAAUUGUACAAUUAGUUAGUCUCGAUUUACUUUUGAUCAGGUCUUUGUUUUAUUUUCUUUCGAUUUUCUUGUUUGUGAAAGAGCUUGCUAUCAUAUGCUGAUCUCUUUCUGCUUUUUUGUGGAUUUUGUUUAUGUAUAUUAUAACAUUAUGGCAAUGAAGAUGAUUUUUGAUGGGAAGCUAAGCAUUCCUGAUGGGCAGGAGAUUCACAAGGACUUUGAUUUGUUUGUGAUUGAAGCUGCAGUGCUGGAGUUCGUGCCUCACAAUUUCCUAGUCUAUAACUCAUUUUUCAUUGUCUAUGCACCAUUUGUGCUAAAAGUCUAGUAGACAUUUGUAACUAAGAUAUUAAGGUGCAUUGGCACAUUUCAUGGUUAAAUAUAGG